GCAGAGUCAGUUGCGCCGCAGCGUUUGGUCAGUUACACCUUCUGGUUCACUGGUAGCCGCGGGAGCCGGGUGGGUCCUCGGCGAUGAUCCGGCAUUAAGGACCUGGAAUCAUCUCUGUCUCAGGUGGCUUGGGGAAAAUACAAGGGCACCCAAAUAUCAUCUACUGACUAAAUCUUUUGCCCUGAACUUCAUGAAGAAAUGAUAGGAGGCAGACAUAUGUGCCUUAGAAGAGCACUGAGCUCAGAGGAGAGCAACAAGAAGUUUUGGGGGUGUGCUUUGAGUUCCAUCAGAUGCAGGAGUUUGAACAUCUUUUAUGGCUCAAAGUGAUUGAAAUUAAUAGCGGAAGACU
Non-coding RNA from Marmota flaviventris (yellow-bellied marmot), 349 nucleotides. NCBI's taxonomy places the organism in Eukaryota, Metazoa, Chordata, Mammalia, Rodentia, Sciuridae. The record is from RefSeq and is a predicted model, not a curated record.